Molecule: long non-coding RNA, 1713 nt
Filed under: Malus domestica (apple)
Lineage: Eukaryota; Viridiplantae; Streptophyta; Magnoliopsida; Rosales; Rosaceae
Description: long non-coding RNA (MDOM_LNC006688)
Source: RNAcentral
UCGUUUGCAAUUUUUUAAUUUACAUUUUGCGUUACUUACCUGAAUUAUUUCUUUUCUUUGCAGGAACUUUUGGUUAUUUCCACCCUUGAAGUUGAUUGCAGACUUUUAGCUUGGGGGGAUCAUCGCUUGGUUUUACUGCAAACUAGGGAAGUUUUCAGUCCAAUUGCUUUAUUUUGUUUCUUAUUAUUUAUUUAUUUUAUUUUUAUUUGCAUUAUAGUGUUUUCUGACAUUGAGGACAAUGUUAGAUUUAAGUGUGGGGCGGGGUAAACAAGUUUCUUUUGCAUGAUUUUCGUGGGAUUUUAUUCACCUAUCACUUACAAUGUUGUUUCUUAGUGUUUUAAGUGUUUUUAAGAAUGUUAGUGUGUUUUGACAUAAAAAUCCGAAAAUUUGACAAAAAUUUGAAAAAAAAAAAUUUUGUUUUGAAAAAGCCAAAAAGAGUUAUUUUUGUGUGUUUGUUUAUGUCUUAGGGUACCUUCCAACACAAUAAUGAGGAUUUGGUUUUUAAUUGCAUGACUGUUAAAGAAAGUUAUAAACAUGGAUGGAAGUUUGAUAUGCUCUUGAUUUAUGCUUGGUUAUAGUUAUAGUUUACGAAUUCACAUGUAAUCACGAAGAAAAAAAAUCAGUUUUUGUAACAUGCUUGAAGGAAGGAACUCAAACUAACACUACAACCCUGAGAGACUUGAGCCUAAUACGUUCUUUGGAGAGUUAUUAAUCUGUGCAUUUUUGUUGUCUAAAGUCGUUGCAUGAUCUCAUCAUUCUUUGCUUGGUUGCUACUUAGAAGGCGUUUCAUCAUUUAGUUCCAAAUACUAGAACUUAUGCCCGUUCCAUUCAAUGCAUGACAUUGAUUUGCAUAACACAUAUUCAAGAUGAAAGUUGUGUAGUGAACUAGAGCCAAAAAGCCUAUCUCGUGCAUAUUUGUUUAAGUUUAACCCCGUUGAGCCUUGUUUAGCCUAUUUUCUUUAUUAACCCACAUUACCCUUACCUAGCCUAGAUUAGGACUAUCCAUACCCUUGUUUUUAAAGCGUAAUGAAGCAUGACUUAAAAUGAAUUCCUUUUGAUUGUCCUUAUGCAGAAAACAAGUGUGGGGGAAUAAGAUUUUUGUGUGUUGAGUGCCAAAAGAAAGUAAUAAGGCACGGGUUAGAAAAAGAAAAAGUGUUGAAAAGAAAAGAAAAAGAGUUUGAAAUAAGUGAGGAAAGGCUCACAAGUGUUGUUUGUUGUAGAAAGGGUCCAAAAGUUGAAAUCGGCCCUAAAAAGUUGAAUGAAUAACCCCAUUGUGUUUAAAGUUAGUUGCUGCAUUCAAAGGGAAUUCUAAGCAUCAAUUUCAUUACUUUGCUUAUUAUGCUUUAAAAACGUUUGUUUCCUUACCUUUCAUUGUUAGCCAAUCACCCCUAACCCCGUUACAACCCUUAACUUCAAUCUUGAGUGUUAUGUGUUUCAAUAUGUGGAGUUUGGGAUUGGUAUGAGCAUAUGGUGUCACUGGUUCUCGCAUCUAAGUAGUAGCAUUCCAGUCAUGAGAUCAUAUCUAUACAUGCUUAAUAACUCCAGAAAUUGCUUUCUUUGCUAUAAACAUAUGUGAGUGUUCGUUUUCAUGUUUACAUCAAUCUUCUCACAAACACCUAGUGUAGGGUGUGUAGUCAGAAAAUCGGAGUGAAAAUAAGAGUGUAUCUUGUAAGGAAUUGAGCAGAUUCUCUAAGGCAUGUUACUACAUUCAAA